GCCCACGUAGCUCAGUUGGCAGAGCGAUACUCCCGUAAAGUAUAGGCCGUCGGUUCGAUCCCGACCGUGGGCU
This 73-nucleotide transfer RNA is filed under the name Candidatus Jorgensenbacteria bacterium. RNAcentral describes it as "tRNA-Thr". It matches the Rfam family "tRNA". From Rfam's summary of the family: Transfer RNA (tRNA) molecules are approximately 80 nucleotides in length. Their secondary structure includes four short double-helical elements and three loops (D, anti-codon, and T loops). Further hydrogen bonds mediate the characteristic L-shaped molecular structure. tRNAs have two regions of fundamental functional importance: the anti-codon, which is responsible for specific mRNA codon recognition, and the 3' end, to which the tRNAs corresponding amino acid is attached (by aminoacyl-tRNA synthetases). tRNAs cope with the degeneracy of the genetic code in two manners: having more than one tRNA (with a specific anti-codon) for a particular amino acid; and 'wobble' base-pairing, i.e. permitting non-standard base-pairing at the 3rd anti-codon position. Lineage: Bacteria; Candidatus Joergenseniibacteriota. The record is from RNAcentral. RNAcentral also lists the same sequence under 1 other name.